UAGCAUGGAUGGUGAGCUAGGAAAGC
This 26-nucleotide non-coding RNA is filed under the name Mus musculus (house mouse). Lineage: Eukaryota; Metazoa; Chordata; Mammalia; Rodentia; Muridae. The record is from RNAcentral.